UCUACGGGUGGCAGCAGUGAGGAAUAUUGGUCAAUGGCCGCAAGACUGAACCAGCCAAGUCGCGUGAGGGAUGACGGUCCUGUGGAUUGUAAACCUCUUUUGUCAGGGAACAAAGGGCGCCACGUGUGGCUCGUUGCGAGUACCUGAAGAAAAAGCAUCGGCUAACUCCGUGCCAGCAGCCGCGGUAAUACGGAGGAUGCGAGAGUUAUCCGGAUUUAUUGGGUUUAAAGGGUGCGCAGGCGGAAUGUCAAGUCAGCGGUAAAAUUUCGGGGCUCAACCCCGUCCUGCCGUUGAAACUGGCAGUCUUGAGUGGGCGAGAAGUAUGCGGAAUGCGUGGUGUAGCGGUGAAAUGCAUAGAUAUCACGCAGAACUCCGAUUGCGAAGGCAGCAUACCGGCGCUAAACUGACGCUGAUGCACGAAAGCGUGGGUAUCGAACAGGAUUAGAUACCCUUGUAGUC
RNAcentral lists this ribosomal RNA (459 nucleotides) under uncultured bacterium. RNAcentral's name for it is "partial 16S ribosomal RNA". It matches the Rfam family "Bacterial small subunit ribosomal RNA", at positions 338 to 795 of the family's 1533-position model. The record is from RNAcentral.